Molecule: non-coding RNA, 1860 nt
Organism: Heterocephalus glaber (naked mole-rat)
Lineage: Eukaryota; Metazoa; Chordata; Mammalia; Rodentia; Bathyergidae
Source: RefSeq, a predicted model, not a curated record
AGCACUUAACUCAGGCCCUGCAUUAUGCAAUGUUUUUAAUCCUCUUACUUAGGGUGGAAAACUGAUAUGGUCCUCUAAGUUCACGUGAAUGACUGGAAAAAUAAUUCUAAGAAAUAAAAACAUCACCAUCAAUAUCACCUUACAGGCUCCCUGAAAGGAUUAAAACCAUGCAUACCUUGAAUUGUCAAGUGCCCUCUGCUGAACUCUCCUUGUGCCUUGUUGAUGUGAAGGUUCCUCAAGGGGAGAGGGACCAAGUAGAGAUCUCCUGGAGAAGACUGCAGCCUCUGUGGCUCAAGGACCCUCUACCCCUGCCCCCGACCUCCAACCUAGCUCCUCAAACGCAAAAACUGCAUCAUGUUCAUCUCUACAGUCCCAGCACCUAACACAGGCCCCAGCAUACAGCAGGCACUCAUAAAACAUUGGGUAAGGCCAGUGCUCAGUGAGAUGAAGAACUGUGGCACCCUGAUCCCUAGGUGGGCGAGGCUGUGGAGUAGGGAUCUGAACCAAGGUGCUCAGUCUGUCUCUCAGAUCUGUGUGGCGUUUCAGAGCUGGCCCUGCUCUUCCCUAUGAUGCUCCAUCCUUCUUAUCCUCAACCUCAGUGGGCACCCAAACUUCAGCACAUGUUUUAUGGGUGCUGCCCCUCAUCCUGAAUGCCUUCCAAUGUUUCUGGGGGGAGACUGAGGACAGAGGCCCUCUGAGUCUUCCAGCGUGAGAAGAGGGGCAUGACAGAUAUUAGCAUCUUCAUUUGACAGAGGAGAAAGCUGAGAUCAGAGAAGGGACUUCCCUGAAACCACACAGCAGGAACCCAGGUGGCCCAGCAUCCCUUCAGGUACACCCCAUUCUGGACCCCCUCCUUGUCCUCACCUAAGCUCUGGGGUUGACUUAUCUGCAAGGAGGAGGAACUACCCACAGGUUCUCAAAAUCCAGCUUUGGUGGCAAGUAGAUGUGAAACAGACACUAGGUCAUAUGAUGUGUGGUCAAACGCCAAGGUCAGAUUUGUCCCCGAGGGGCAGGGCUAAGAUCCAGUUGCUAAGACAUUUGGCCUGGGGAGUCUGCUGUGACUCAUAGCCUUUAAGGGAAGCACCUGGCUUCUCAGAGGGGUGCAAUGCUGUUCCUAGCAACUGGAGUAGGUCCAGGGGCAAAGAUGAACAGCAUCCCCAUGGCAAGUACUACAUCAUCUACAUCUCUAAGCCCCCACACUGGCAGCCCAACUGACACCAAGUGUUUCCACCACUUCUCAGAUUAAAUGGUGCUAGCAACAUUGUGCCCAAGCCUUUCCUAAUGCUGAAGAUGUGUCAUGCCCAGCCCAGAGCAAUGCUAGUAGAUGCCCAAUAAAUGAAUCUGUAAACUCACAAAGGCAGUCACCACACUGUGUGGCAGAAAGCUGGCUCUGCCCAAAUUAUAGAAAGCUCUGGCUUCUUUCUCAAAACAAAGAAAUGGUCCCAUGAAUACCCAGAAAUCUUUCAUUCUAUCAGAGGCAUGAAUGAUAAGUUUUCAGACUCAAGGGAGCUCUGGGUCACCCACCAAAGCUUACACACUUCUCUAGAUCAGUGGUGUUCAAAGGGUGGGCCCUUGGCAUUUGUGAAAAAUAAAAUUUUCAGGAUCCACUCCAGACCUAAUAAAUCAGAAACUGCAGAGGACCAGCAAUGGUUUAAUAAGCCUUGCAGGUGAUUCUAAUCCAAUAUUGUUUGAAAACGUCUGCUCUAAAUAAAAUCCCCCGAAAUAAUAACCCUAAGACAAAGCAGAUUUCUUCCUCCAAACCAGAAAAUAAAUAGCUGAUGUCACACACAUCACUCGUCACUAGCAUCAAAUCAAACUCCUCCAAAAUCACUUAUUUGGUAUCUGUUCCAUACAUAUCUG